GUGGGGAAUCUUGCGCAAUGGGCGAAAGCCUGACGCAGCCAUGCCGCGUGAAUGAUGAAGGUCUUAGGAUUGUAAAAUUCUUUCACCGGGGACGAUAAUGACGGUACCCGGAGAAGAAGCUCCGGCUAACUUCGUGCCAGCAGCCGCGGUAAUACGAAGGGGGCUAGCGUUGCUCGGAAUUACUGGGCGUAAAGGGCGCGUAGGCGGACAGCUUAGUCAGAGGUGAAAGCCCAGGGCUCAACCUUGGAAUUGCCUUUGAUACUGGCUGUCUUGAGUACGGGAGAGGUGAGUGGAACUCCGAGUGUAGAGGUGAAAUUCGUAGAUAUUCGGAAGAACACCAGUGGCGAAGGCGACUCACUGGCCCGUUACUGACGCUGAGGCGCGAAAGCGUGGGGAGCAAACAGGAUUAGAAACCCCAGUAGUCC
Molecule: ribosomal RNA, 425 nt
Filed under: uncultured bacterium
Lineage: Bacteria
Description: bacterial SSU rRNA
Rfam family: Bacterial small subunit ribosomal RNA
Source: RNAcentral